GUUUCAAAUGGUGGUGAUGACCAAAAAAUGACCUAUUCGUGCGCUUGAACCCAUAAAAAUGAACUUUAAAAUCUCACUUGUUUGUAUUUCACUGCUGAUCAUCGCAAAAUAUGCUAACGCAAGUGGAUCCAGUAAAGAUGGAGACCUACUUUCUCCGAUAAAUAUCGAUACAUCUCGAGUUACUCCAAGUUUUGAUCUACUGAAAAUAUCAUUAGACGUACCCAGAACUCUAUCUUCCGAUGGCAUAGCAAUAAAUACAGGAAAAGAAAGUGAUUCACAAAACAUAUCGUAUCACGUCGUCUGUCAAAGAGUGCUCAAAAUCACUAUACCAAACUUGUUCUACUUUUUCAGUCAGAUUUCCUCUGACAAAAAAACAAGAAAUGGGCUCACAACAAAUAACACUUGACAAUAUUACAUAUACACUAGCUGACCGACAUAUACUAAUAAACCAAAAUGGAUCGCAGAAAAAUCGUAGCGGACACACCAUCAAUGGCAAAGGAUAUCCCAUCGAAGCAACCAAUAUAUUCGCCAACAUUGAUGAAUACAAGAGUUUGUAAGAAGCCAAGAAAGAGAAACACCCCAAUGGUAUAUUAGCUCUCUCGCAACCAGUCGAUGUAAUAGACAUUCCGAAUCCUACUUUCAUACCAUUUGGUAUAUUCUUGCGUUCAGGCAAUCUAAAAACACCCAACUCUGCUGCAACGAUUUCCACCCUAUUUUCAUUUAUUUGGUUCGACUCUCUUGUCAAGAACCGUGCGUAUUACAUUUAUACAGGAUCUUUAUACGAUCCGGAAACCAAAACGCAAAUACUUGAAGUGACGAACAUUGUACCUCAACCGCCUUAUAGCUCUAUUUCUUAUCAACAAUUCACAGCUUUUAGAAAUGUUUUGGAUACAGAUGACAAUCCAUUGAGUACCAUAGCUCCAUUAAAUCCUGUCAAAGGCAGAGAAAUCAAAGCAGUGAGAGGACUCUUCAUUGAACUACGUCCCGUUUACGUCACUCUUUUUGCUCCGUGAGCAAUCAGCAGCCGUAUUGAAAUUUGAGGGUAAUU
Planococcus citri (citrus mealybug) is the source of this 1048-nucleotide long non-coding RNA. RefSeq lists it as uncharacterized. NCBI's taxonomy places the organism in Eukaryota, Metazoa, Arthropoda, Insecta, Hemiptera, Pseudococcidae. The record is from RefSeq and is a predicted model, not a curated record. The transcript is spliced from 5 exons.